GACGAACGCUGGCGGCGUGCUUAACACAUGCAAGUCGAACGGAAAGGCCCUGCUUGCGGGGUGCUCGAGUGGCGAACGGGGGAGUAACACGUGGGUGAUCUGCCCCUUACUUUGGGAUAAGCCUGGAGAACUGGGGGGAAUACUGGGGAGGAGAAUGCUGUAGGUGGGGUGGUGGAAGGAUUAGUUUCGGGGGGGGGUGAGGUCGCGGCGUAUCAGCGUGUUGGUGGGGGAAUGGGCUACCAAGGCGUCGACGGGGAGCCGGCCGGCGAGGGGGGGCGGCGGCAUCGGGACGGCGGUGCGGCCCCGCCUCCUACGGCAGGCAGCAGUGGGGGGGAUUGCUCAAUGGGCGGAAGACUGAUGAAGCGACGCCGCGUGGGGGAUGACGGCCUUCGGGUUGUAAAAUCCUUUCUGCGCUGACGAAGCCCUUGUGGUGACGGUAGUGGUAGAAGAAGCACCGGCUAACUACGUG
Molecule: ribosomal RNA, 469 nt
Filed under: uncultured bacterium
Lineage: Bacteria
Description: partial 16S ribosomal RNA
Rfam family: Bacterial small subunit ribosomal RNA
Source: RNAcentral